GCCGGGGUGGCGGAACUGGUAGACGCAGCAGACUCAAAAUCUGCCGGGGAUUACUCCCCGUGCCGGUUCGAUUCCGGCCCUCGGCA
This 86-nucleotide transfer RNA is filed under the name bacterium. RNAcentral describes it as "tRNA-Leu". It matches the Rfam family "tRNA". From Rfam's summary of the family: Transfer RNA (tRNA) molecules are approximately 80 nucleotides in length. Their secondary structure includes four short double-helical elements and three loops (D, anti-codon, and T loops). The record is from RNAcentral. RNAcentral also lists the same sequence under 1 other name.